GGGGACAUAGCUCAGUUGGGAGAGCGCCUGCCUUGCAAGCAGGAGGUCGUGAGUUCGAUUCUCAUUGUUUCCACCA
RNAcentral lists this transfer RNA (76 nucleotides) under Lachnospiraceae bacterium 7_1_58FAA. RNAcentral's name for it is "tRNA-Ala". It matches the Rfam family "tRNA". From Rfam's summary of the family: Transfer RNA (tRNA) molecules are approximately 80 nucleotides in length. Their secondary structure includes four short double-helical elements and three loops (D, anti-codon, and T loops). The record is from RNAcentral. Lineage: Bacteria; Bacillati; Bacillota; Clostridia; Lachnospirales; Lachnospiraceae.